CACGUAUUUAGCCGGUGCUUCUUACUCAGGUACCGUCAUUUUUCUUUCCCUGCUGAUAGAGCUUUACAUACCGAAAUACUUCUUCGCUCACGCGGCGUCGCUGCAUCAGGGUUUCCCCCAUUGUGCAAUAUUCCCCACUGCUGCCUCCCGUAGGAGUUUGGGCCGUGUCUCAGUCCCAAUGUGGCCGGCCACCCUCUCAGGUCGGCUACUGAUCGUCGCCUUGGUGGGCCUCUCCCCCGCCAACUAGCGAAUCAGACGCGGGCCCAUCCCAUACCACCGGAGUUUUUCACACCAGGCCAUGCGGCCCUUGUGCGCUUAUGCGGUUUUAGCAGCCGUUUCCGGCUGUUACUCCCCCUGUAUGGGGCAGGUUGCCCACGCGUUACUCACCCGUCCGCCACUCAGUCACAAUUUCUUCUUCCCCGAAGGAAUACUAAAAAAGUGCUUCGUUCGACUUGCAUGUGUUAAGCACGCCGCCAGCGUUCAUCCUGACGCCAGGAUACAAACUCUA
RNAcentral lists this ribosomal RNA (508 nucleotides) under uncultured Lachnospiraceae bacterium. RNAcentral's name for it is "partial 16S ribosomal RNA". Lineage: Bacteria; Bacillati; Bacillota; Clostridia; Lachnospirales; Lachnospiraceae. The record is from RNAcentral.